AAGGCCUAAUGUCUUUUACUUUUUAUUUGAAUCUACUUUUUAUUAUUUUUUUGCUACCUUUACAGUCAAGCAUAAAUAAUGAAACAACCACAUUCAUUUUAAUUUUUUCUUAUUAGGGUGGUUAACAGUUAUCAGUGACCCUCCAAGGCCAUGUCUCAGUGUGUGGACAACUGUCUCCGAGUCCCUCACUUCUCAGCAUGGACAUAAGAAGUCUGGCUGAACAGGACAUGGCCCUUAUCUCCUUUUACAAGCAACCUAAUGUGGAAUGGGGACGACCCCUGAAUUGCAAACUUGAAGGAGAUACUGCUGUUGGCCAGGGUGUAACUCGCCUUUUCUUCUCAACAUGCAUGGAAAAGCUGAGGUCUGGAUUUUGCAUCAAUUUUGUCCUGAAACUGCCACAAUUACACUGGAGGAUUGUCCAGACCUGGACAUAACAGAAACAAUCAGGCUUCUUGAAGGUGAAUCCAAACCGUCAGAGAGGGAUGCAGGAAGUGUCCAGGAAUUGGCCUUUGCCUGGGACCUCCCAUCCCUUACUGAGAAGAACAGGAGGUGGAUUUUUGAAAAGCUUCUAAUCCAUGCUGUG
Long non-coding RNA from Gasterosteus aculeatus aculeatus (three-spined stickleback), 583 nucleotides. The record is from Ensembl. Lineage: Eukaryota; Metazoa; Chordata; Actinopteri; Perciformes; Gasterosteidae.